RNAcentral lists this ribosomal RNA (467 nucleotides) under uncultured bacterium. RNAcentral describes it as "partial 16S ribosomal RNA". It matches the Rfam family "Bacterial small subunit ribosomal RNA", at positions 28 to 506 of the family's 1533-position model. The record is from RNAcentral.
GACGAACGCCGGCGGCGUGCUCAACACAUGCAAGUCGAACGGAAAGGCCCUGCUUUUGUGGGGUGCUCGAGUGGCGAACGGGUGAGUAACACGUGAGUAACCUGCCCUUGACUUUGGGAUAACUUCAGGAAACUGGGGCUAAUACCGGAUAGGAGCUCCUGCUGCAUGGUGGGGGUUGGAAAGUUUCGGCGGUUGGGGAUGGACUCGCGGCUUAUCAGCUUGUUGGUGGGGUAGUGGCUUACCAAGGCUUUGACGGGUAGCCGGCCUGAGAGGGUGACCGGCCACAUUGGAAAGAGAGGGCGCCCCAGUCCCCGACGGAGGGCAGAAGGGGGGAAAUUUACAAAUUGGGCGAAAGCUUAAUGAGGCAACCCCGCGUUGGGGAUGCCGGCCUGUGGGUUGUAAACCGUUUUGGCCUGUGACUAAGGGUGAGGGACCGGAAGGGGAAAAAGAACCCCGGCCGGCUACAU